UCCAGCAGCCCGCGGUAAUACGGAGGGGGCAAGCGUUAWUCGGAAUUACUGGGCGUAAAGCGCGCGUAGGCGGUUUGUUAAGCCAGAUGUGAAAGCCCCGGGCUCAACCUGGGAAUUGCAUUUGGAACUGGCAAACUAGAGUGUGDGAGAGGUGAGUGGAAUUUCUAGUGUAGCGGUGAAAUGCGUAGAUAUUAGAAGGAACAYCAGUGGCGAAGGCGACUCMCUGGCAUAACACUGACGCUGAGGUGCGAAAGCGUGGGKAGCAAACAGGAUUAGAUACCCUGGUAGUCCACGCCGUAAACGAUGUCUACUAGCCGUUGGAGAUCUUGUAUCUUUGGUGGCSCAGCUAACGCAAUAAGUA
Molecule: ribosomal RNA, 361 nt
Filed under: uncultured bacterium
Lineage: Bacteria
Description: bacterial SSU rRNA
Rfam family: Bacterial small subunit ribosomal RNA
Source: RNAcentral